CAGUGCACUUGUGCUCCUGAGUGCAUGUGUGCUCCUGAGUGUGUGUGUGCUCCUGUGCCUGGGUGUCUCUCUGUUGCUAUGUGGAGCACGUGACGUAGGACGAGAGCCUUCAUAAUUGGUGGCAGCCAAACCAUGAUUUUUAAAAAAACUUCUAGGUUCAGGGGUACAUGUGAAGGUUUGUUACUUAGGUGAACUCAUGUCACAGGGAUUUCUUGUACAAAUUAUUUUACUAUUCAGGUGUUAAAAGCCCAAUACUCAAUUGUUAGCUUUUCUCUUCCUCUCCCCCUCCCUCCCUGCACCUUCCAGUAGACCCCAGGGUCUGUUGUUCCCUUCUUUGUGUUCACGAGUUCUCAUUUAGCUUACACUUACAACCGAAAAUGUGGUAUUUGGAUUUCUGUUCAUGGUUAGUUUGGUAAGGAAAAUGGUUGGUUUCCAGCUUCAUCCAUGUUCCUGCAAAGGAUAUGAUCUCAUUCAUUUUUCAGGACUGCACAGUAUCCCGUGGUAUAUAGGAACCACAUUUAAUCUGUCGUUGAUGGGCAUUUAGGUUGAUUCCAUGUCUUUGCUAUUGUGAACAGUGCUGCAAUGAACAUUCACGUGCAUGUGCUUUUGCGGAAGAAUCAUUUAUCAAACUGCUCUUCUCCACAGGCACUCUUGUCUCACAAGGAAUUUCUGUAAGUCGUUGGAGUGGAUAGGAUUUAGACAAGCCUGUCUUGCCACGGCCCAGAACCAUGGGGAAGGGGAAAUUUGGACACAGAGCCAUGGAGGGAAGAUGCCUUGAAGACGCAGAAAGAAGAUGACCACCUUGAAGCAAGGGAUUCCCAAGGCUGCCAGAACCCAGAAAAGAGGCCAGGAACAGACUCUUCUUCAUUGCCGUCAGAGGGAACCAACCACAGACUCUUCUUCAUUGCCACAGAGGGAACCAACCCUGCUGGCACCUUGGUCUUGGACUUCCAGCCUCAGAACUGUGUGACAAUGAAUGUCCAUUAUCUGAGAUGCUCAGUCUGUGUCCUUUGUCACAGCAACCCCAGGGAACUCAUACAGGAGGCAGGUGGCUUCCCCAACCACAGCUCUGUGGUCUGCUGGGUGAGACCUGCUGUAUUGCUCUCAGGAGCUCUUAAAAAUAGCCUGAAUGAAAGACAGGACUCCAGGGUGAGUGGAUGAAUUUAAUCUGUGCCAUGUAAAUCCCUUUAUAGGUGAUCAGAAGGGGACACAAAGAUCUAGAUAUUUGUUUUUCUCUUUCUACAGUGUAUAUAUACAAAGUUCACAAAUAUUAUACCCUCUCCAAGAAAGCACUUAGUAGAUGACCACUCCAGAAAAAGCAUGGUUUGUCCUCUGCACUGUCCACAUUCCUCUUUCUGUCUGUAAAUGAUGAUCACUGAAUUCCGCCCCCCGAGAGAUUAGAAAGCAUCUCCUAUGCUCUCAAAAAGGAUUCAUAAGUGCAUUCACUUCAGAGUAUAAAUUAUUGGUUCUCAAAUUCUAAUGUUCACAGGAAUUUCCUGGAAUAUUUGCUAAAAUGAAGACUCCCAGAGUCCCCCACAGAUCUACAGAAUCAGAAUCUUUCGUGGUGGGACUAGAAAUCUCCAGUCAAUCAUCCACCCUCCUCCUCCCCACCCCAGGAUACUGAUGCAGACAGCCUGGUCACCCCUCCUGGAGAAACACUAUUGUAGAUGACCGAUUAAAGUGUAUGGCUUUACCUCUCUUACAUAUGCGUUUUGGGGAAGCAAUACAAUUUUUGCAGGUUAAAACUAAAGG
Long non-coding RNA from Callithrix jacchus (white-tufted-ear marmoset), 1752 nucleotides. Lineage: Eukaryota; Metazoa; Chordata; Mammalia; Primates; Cebidae. The record is from Ensembl.